GCGAAACUUCAAGAACCUACAGUCCCUGGAAAUAUGUGGUGGAGGAUUGACUGAUGCUGGUGUGAAGAACAUUAAAGACCUUUCUUCCUUGAUGGUACUCAAUCUAUCACAAAAUGGCAAUCUGACUGAUAAAACCUUGGAACUAAUUUCAGGUUUAACAGGGUUGGUCUCUUUAAACAUUUCGAAUUCGAGAAUCACCUCUGCGGGACUGCGGCACCUGAAAACUCUGAAGAACCUAAAGCAGUUGACGCUGGAGGCUUGCCGGGUUUCGGCAAGUGACAUCAGAAAGCUUCAAUCUACAGACCUCCCGAAUCUGGUGAGCUUCCGCCCUGAGUAGCUGUGAAGAAGAUGUCCUGUGAUCCAACCUGCCAUAAAGGCAGUGUUGUAAAUAAUGAUAUCCAGGCAACAAGUUCUUAUCAAAUUGUGCAUAGUUUUGGAUUUGCUUCAGGCCAUGAGCUUUCAGAGACCAAGUGUUUUU
This 478-nucleotide unclassified non-coding RNA is filed under the name Hevea brasiliensis (rubber tree). The record is from RNAcentral. Lineage: Eukaryota; Viridiplantae; Streptophyta; Magnoliopsida; Malpighiales; Euphorbiaceae.